This 792-nucleotide long non-coding RNA is filed under the name Homo sapiens (human). RNAcentral describes it as "HSALNT0377440". Lineage: Eukaryota; Metazoa; Chordata; Mammalia; Primates; Hominidae. The record is from RNAcentral.
UCAUGUAGCGCCAGCCACACCAGGAACAGAAGGGUGCCGGGUACCUUCCGCAUGCUUGGUAUUCUCCCCGCGGGGCUCUGACCGCUGCCGCUCUCAGGCACCUGUCUUUCCUCUCCGUCCCAGAAUGGAGCCAAGACAAGGGAAUAAACGAAAUUCAAUAGUACACGGAGAUCGGGUGUCUGGGCAGCGUCUUGGAAAAACUAUCCACUACAGUACAGGUCAAGUGAAGUUCUUCUGCUGAUAUGUUCUGCUACUGCAUAAGAGACGGAAUCUAUGUUGCCUCGACUGGUCCUGAACUCCUGGGCUAAAGCGAUCCUUCUGCCUUGGCCUCCCAAAGUGCGAGGAUUAUAGGUGUGAGCCACCCAACCUGGCCUUUGCCAGUAUUUUUAAAUCCAAACACCUAUGCAUGGUGCUUACUAAUAACACAGUGGUAUUCUAAACAUUUUUCACCUAUUAUUUAAUCUUUAUUAUUAUCACCAUGUUACAGAUAAGGACCCUGGCUAAAUAGCUUACCCAACAUUACUCCGUUAAUAAAUGGUAGAACCUGUAUUUCACUCAAGCAGUCUGGUGUCCACGCGAUUAACACUAGACUAUGUUGUCUCUCAAAAACUCAUCCUGAUUACCAAGGCAAGUAUUUGUAAGUCUAGGCUAUUAUUAUAAAGUUCGAAAUUUGCCUACUUCACAUGCCAAAGACAUAAAGAAGGAAUUAUAGGAGUUGGCUUCAGAAUUUAGGACUUGACCUAAGCUAUUCAGAGAAACUCAGAACCAGGCUCUUUCUUGGAGUUUGCUUAU